Molecule: ribosomal RNA, 253 nt
Filed under: uncultured bacterium
Lineage: Bacteria
Also listed under: 1 other name
Description: partial 16S ribosomal RNA
Rfam family: Bacterial small subunit ribosomal RNA
Source: RNAcentral
UACGGAGGGUGCGAGCGUUAAUCGGAAUUACUGGGCGUAAAGCGUGCGUAGGUGGUUUGUUAAGUCAGAUGUGAAAGCCCUGGGCUCAACCUGGGAACGGCAUUUGAAACUGGCAGACUAGAGUUUAAGAGAGGGGAGUGGAAUUUCAGGUGUAGCGGUGAAAUGCGUAGAGAUCUGAAGGAACACCAGUGGCGAAGGCGACUCCCUGGCUUAAAACUGACGCUGAGGUACGAAAGCGUGGGUAGCAAACAGG